AAACGGUAGCUAAUACCGCAUAACGUCGCAAGACCAAAGAGGGGGACCUUCGGGCCUCUUGCCAUCGGAUGUGCCCAGAUGGGAUUAGCUAGUAGGUGGGGUAACGGCUCACCUAGGCGACGAUCCCUAGCUGGUCUGAGAGGAUGACCAGCCACACUGGAACUGAGACACGGUCCAGACUCCUACGGGAGGCAGCAGUGGGGAAUAUUGCACAAUGGGCGCAAGCCUGAUGCAGCCAUGCCGCGUGUAUGAAGAAGGCCUUCGGGUUGUAAAGUACUUUCAGCGAGGAGGAAGGCAUUGUGGUUAAUAACCGCAGUGAUUGACGUUACUCGCAGAAGAAGCACCGGCUAACUCCGUGCCAGCAGCCGCGGUAAUACGGAGGGUGCAAGCGUUAAUCGGAAUUACUGGGCGUAAAGCGCACGCAG
RNAcentral lists this ribosomal RNA (425 nucleotides) under Citrobacter sp. A07. RNAcentral describes it as "bacterial SSU rRNA". It matches the Rfam family "Bacterial small subunit ribosomal RNA", at positions 154 to 574 of the family's 1533-position model. Lineage: Bacteria; Pseudomonadati; Pseudomonadota; Gammaproteobacteria; Enterobacterales; Enterobacteriaceae. The record is from RNAcentral.